GGGAGAAGUCGGAGCACAAGGACUACCAGGCCCAGGUGGACCAAGAGGACUCCCUGGAAUAAUGGGCUCCAAAGGGGACAAGGGACCUCGUGGAAAGCCUGGUGAUGUGGGCCCUAGAGGAAUUCAGGGAUCCCCAGGUGAUCCAGGCCAAAGAGGAGCCAUUGGUGAGACCGGGCCAAGGGGAGUGGCGGGGGAUCGAGGUCCAGCAGGAAUCAGAGGUGUGCCAGGACCAAAAGGAGAGCCUG
Lates calcarifer (barramundi perch) is the source of this 245-nucleotide long non-coding RNA. RefSeq lists it as uncharacterized. The record is from RefSeq and is a predicted model, not a curated record. The transcript is spliced from 5 exons. NCBI's taxonomy places the organism in Eukaryota, Metazoa, Chordata, Actinopteri, Centropomidae.